GAUGAACGCUGGCGGCGUGCCUAAUACAUGCAAGUCGAGCGAACGGACGAGAAGCUUGCUUCUCUGAUGUUAGCGGCGGACGGGUGAGUAACACGUGGAUAACCUACCUAUAAGACUGGGAUAACUUCGGGAAACCGGAGCUAAUACCGGAUAAUAUUUUGAACCGCAUGGUUCAAAAGUGAAAGACGGUCUUGCUGUCACUUAUAGAUGGAUCCGCGCUGCAUUAGCUAGUUGGUAAGGUAACGGCUUACCACGGCAACGAUGCAUAGCCGACCGGAGAGGGUGAUCGGCCACACUGGAACUGAGACACGGUCCAGACUCCUACGGGAGGCAGCAGUAGGGAAUCUUCCGCAAAGGGCGAAAGCCUGACGGAGCAACGCCGCGUGAGUGAUGAAGGUCUUCGGAUCGUAAAACUCUGUUAUUAGUGAAGAACAUAUGUGUAAGUAACUGUGCACAUCUUGACGGUACCUAAUCAGAAAGCCACGGCUAACUACGUG
This 497-nucleotide ribosomal RNA is filed under the name uncultured bacterium. RNAcentral describes it as "partial 16S ribosomal RNA". It matches the Rfam family "Bacterial small subunit ribosomal RNA", at positions 28 to 507 of the family's 1533-position model. The record is from RNAcentral.